This is an RNA transcript of Capra hircus (goat), 1919 nucleotides long. It is a transcript of the gene named protein tyrosine phosphatase, non-receptor type 2, with no coding region annotated. The record is from RefSeq and is a predicted model, not a curated record. NCBI's taxonomy places the organism in Eukaryota, Metazoa, Chordata, Mammalia, Artiodactyla, Bovidae. The transcript has 12 exons.
GACAGCGCGUUGACGUCACGCACCAGGUACUUUCCCCGCGGCCGCGGCGGCGUGGGGGCGGGGCGGGACAGGCGUGGAGCGCGCAUGCGCGGCAGCGGCUGCGCGCUGCCCGGAUCGUGCGGGGCCUGAGCCUCUCCGCCGGCGCAGGCUCCCUCGCGACAGCUCGCUCCCGCCGCCAUGUCGGCUGCCAUCGAACGGGAGUUUGAGGAGUUAGACGCUCAGAAUCGCUGGCAGCAGCUGUACCUGGAAAUUCGCAGUGAGUCCCAUGACUAUCCUCAUAGAGUGGCCAAGUUCCCUGAAAACAGAAAUCGAAACAGAUACAGAGAUGUGAGCCCAUAUGAUCACAGUCGUGUUAAACUGCAGAAUGCUGAAAAUGAUUAUAUCAAUGCCAGCUUAGUUGACAUAGAGGAGGCACAGAGGAGCUACAUCUUAACCCAGGGUCCGCUUCCUAAUACAGGUUGUCAUUUCUGGCUCAUGGUUUGGCAGCAAAAGACCAAAGCAGUUGUCAUGCUAAACCGAAUUGUGGAGAAAGAAUCAGUUAAAUGUGCACAGUACUGGCCUACAAAAGAUGACCGGGAGAUGCUGUUUAAGGAAACUGGCUUCAGUGUGAAGUUCCUGUCAGAGGACGUGAAGUCCUAUUACACGGUCCAUCUGUUGCAGUUAGGAAACACCAGGACUGGUGAGACCAGAACAAUAUCUCACUUUCAUUAUACUACCUGGCCAGAUUUUGGAGUCCCUGAAUCACCAGCUUCGUUUCUCAAUUUCUUAUUCAAAGUGCGGGAAUCUGGCUCCUUGAACCCUGAGCACGGGCCUGCGGUGAUCCACUGCAGUGCCGGCAUCGGGCGGUCGGGCACCUUUUCUCUGGUGGACAGCUGCCUUGUUCUGAUAGAAAAAGGAGACAAUAUUAACAUUAAACAACUGUUAUUGAAUAUGAGAAAAUACCGAAUGGGACUGAUUCAGACGCCAGAUCAGCUCAGAUUUUCCUACAUGACUAUAAUAGAAGGAGCAAAGUUUAUAAAGGGAGACUCAAGUAUACAGAAACGUUGGAAAGAACUUUCUAAGGAAGACGUAUGUCCUGUUUUUGAUCAUUCGCCAACCAAAAUAAUGACUGAAAAAUACAAUGGGAACAGGAUAGGCCUAGAAGAGGAAAAACUGACAGGAGACAGAUACUCAGGUCUGUCCUCUAAAACGCAGGAAGCUCUGGAGGAGAGCAGCGAGAGUGCUCUGCGCAAGCGCCUCCGGGAGGACAGGAAGGCCAGCACUGCCCAGAAGGUGCAGCAGAUGAAGCAGAGGCUGAGCGAGACCGAGCGCAAGAGGAAAAGUCUUCCCAAUUUUAAAAAGAAAAACAAACAAAGAAACAAAAAUUUUCUCUAAAAAUAUCUUUGAAGGAAGGUUCUCCUUACUGGCGUAGUCAGGCAUCUAACAAGAAUGUUCCCUUGGUGUCUGGACAUUUCUGUGUUGGUGCUGGAAACCUGACACCAAAGAGCCAGCACUCAGGAAGAAGCCAACUCGCAGUGUUGGGGGUUUUGAUGGAACGUUUUGGAUAAAAGUGCCAAGAUUGACAGACACCUAAAUAUUCAUGCCUUGAGAAUAUUCUGCAGCUAUAAAUUUUGAACCAUUGAUGUGCAAAACAAGACCUGAAGCCCGCUCCGGAAUCUCAGUGAGGCUUGAUAAGCCUGUAGAUUGCCUCACAUGUGUCUGUUUACAAAGUAAACCUUACAUCCAGGGAGCGAAGAGUGCCACCAGCGGAAGACUGUGCAGAAGCCUCUAAUUCAGUGCAUUGUUAAGUUUUCUAACGCGCGUGUGAAAUGUAGAAAGAUGUAAAAGAAAUAAAUUAGGAGAGACUACUUUGUAUUGUACUGCCAUUCCAACUGUAUUUUUAUACCUUUUGGCAGCAUUAAAUAUUUUUAUUAAAUAGA